This 493-nucleotide ribosomal RNA is filed under the name uncultured bacterium. Its description in RNAcentral is "partial 16S ribosomal RNA". It matches the Rfam family "Bacterial small subunit ribosomal RNA", at positions 30 to 523 of the family's 1533-position model. The record is from RNAcentral.
AUUGAACGCUGGCGGCAUGCUUUACACAUGCAAGUCGAACGGUAACAGGUUAAGCUGACGAGUGGCGAACGGGUGAGUAAUGCAUCGGAACGUGCCCGGUCGUGGGGGAUAACACUUCGAAAGAAGUGCUAAUACCGCAUACGAUCUAAGGAUGAAAGCGGGGGACCGUAAGGCCUCGCGCGAUCGGAGCGGCCGAUGUCAGAUUAGGUAGUUGGUGGGGUAAAGGCCUACCAAGCCGACGAUCUGUAGCUGGUCUGAGAGGACGACCAGCCCCACUGGGACUGAGACACGGCCCAGACUCCUACGGGAGGCAGCAGUGGGGAAUUUUGGACAAUGGGCGCAAGCCUGAUCCAGCAAUGCCGCGUGCAGGAAGAAGGCCUUCGGGUUGUAAACUGCUUUUGUACGGAGCGAAAAGGCUCUCUCUAAUACAGGGGGCUGAUGACGGUACCGUAAGAAUAAGCACCGGCUAACUACGUGCCAGCCGCCGCGGUAA